Molecule: long non-coding RNA, 429 nt
Filed under: Homo sapiens (human)
Lineage: Eukaryota; Metazoa; Chordata; Mammalia; Primates; Hominidae
Description: non-protein coding lnc-EBAG9-11:1
Source: RNAcentral
AUGGGGGCCACAAAGAAGAUGAAAACCUCACUGGAGUCAAUUAACUCUGGAGUCCAACUCAUUAUGAAAAGUGGAAAGUAUAGGCCAAUAUCUCAGAUGAACAUAGAUGCAAAGAGCCUCAACCAAAUACUAGCAAACUGAACACAACAACAUAUUAAAAAUAUGCUAAGGUACAAGCCAACUCUGAAGAUGAUCAGACAAGGCAAAGCAAAAUUCAUCAUCCUUUUUAGAAACUGCCUGACUUUGAAGAAAUCUGAAUUAGAGUACUAAGUAUUGUUGGCCAAAACUGCUAUCCACCACUACAGUGGCAAUAACACUGAAUUGGGUACAGCAUGUGAAAUAUACUACAUACAAUGCAUACUGGCUAUCAUUAAUCCGGGUGAUUCUGAUAUCAUUAGAAGCAUGCCAGAAUAGUCUGGUGAAAAGUAA